GGCGGCGUGCUUAACACAUGCAAGUCGAACGGAGGAGUUUAUUCGGUAGAUCCUAGUGGCGAACGGGUGAGUAACGCGUGGGCAAUCUGCCCUCAGAUGGGGACAACAUCCCGAAAGGGGUGCUAAUACCGAAUACGAUCCUUCCACCGCAUGGAGGGGGGAUGAAAGAUGGCCUCUAUAUAUAAGCUAUCGCUGAAGGAUGAGCCUGCGUCUGAUUAGCUUGUUGGUGGGUAACGGCCUACCAAGGCGAUGAUCAGUAGCCGGUCUGAGAGGAUGAACGGCCACAUUGGGACUGAGGCACGGCCCAAACUCCUACGGGAGGCAGCAGUGGGGAAUAUUCCGCAAUGGACGAAAGUCUGACGGAGCAACGCCGCCGUGAGUGAUGAAGGUUUUCGGACUGUAAAGCUCUGUUGUUUGGGACGAAAGUGCCUGUUGCGAACAGUUACGGGUAUUGACGGUACUAAACGAGGAAGCCACGGCUAACUACGUGCCAGCCGCCGC
RNAcentral lists this ribosomal RNA (501 nucleotides) under uncultured bacterium. RNAcentral's name for it is "bacterial SSU rRNA". It matches the Rfam family "Bacterial small subunit ribosomal RNA", at positions 38 to 518 of the family's 1533-position model. The record is from RNAcentral.